AGAGUUUGAUCAUGGCUCAGGACGAACGCUGGCGGCGUGCUUAACACAUGCAAGUCGAACGGAAAGGCCCUUCGGGGUACUCGAGUGGCGAACGGGUGAGUAACACGUGAGCAAUCUGCCCCUAGCUCUGGGAUAGCUCCGGGAAACCGGGAUUAAUACCAGAUAUGAUCACAGCCGACAUCAGCUGUGAUGGAGAGAAUUUCGGCUAGGGAUGAGCUCGCGGCCUAUCAGCUUGUUGGUGGGGUAACGGCCCACCAAGGCGACGACGGGUAGCCGGCCUGAGAGGGCGACCGGCCACACUGGGACUGAGACACGGCCCAGACUCCUACGGGAGGCAGCAGUGGGGAAUAUUGCGCAAUGGGCGAAAGCCUGACGCAGCGACGCCGCGUGCGGGAUGAAGGCCUUCGGGUUGUAAACCGCUUUCAGCAGGGACGAAGCGAAAGUGACGGUACCUGCAGAAGAAGCGCCGGCUAACUACGUGCCAGCAGCCGCGGUAACACGUAGGGCGCAAGCGUUGUCCGGAAUUAUUGGGCGUAAAGAGCUCGUAGGCGGUCUGUUGCGUCCGCUGUGAAAACUCGGGGCUUAACCCCGAGCCUGCAGUGGAUACGGGCAGACUAGAGGUAGGUAGGGGAGAAUGGAAUUCCUGGUGUAGCGGUGAAAUGCGCAGAUAUCAGGAGGAACACCGGUGGCGAAGGCGGUUCUCUGGGCCUUACCUGACGCUGAGGAGCGAAAGCGUGGGGAGCGAACAGGAUUAGAUACCCCCGUAGUCC
Molecule: ribosomal RNA, 770 nt
Filed under: uncultured bacterium
Lineage: Bacteria
Description: bacterial SSU rRNA
Rfam family: Bacterial small subunit ribosomal RNA
Source: RNAcentral